GCCGCCGUAGCUCAGUGGUAGAGCAUCGGACGCUCUUUUCGAAGGUCGCAGGUUCGGUCCCUGCCGGCGGCA
RNAcentral lists this transfer RNA (72 nucleotides) under Rhipicephalus sanguineus (brown dog tick). RNAcentral describes it as "transfer RNA glutamic acid (anticodon CUC)". It matches the Rfam family "tRNA". From Rfam's summary of the family: Transfer RNA (tRNA) molecules are approximately 80 nucleotides in length. The record is from Rfam by way of RNAcentral. Lineage: Eukaryota; Metazoa; Arthropoda; Arachnida; Ixodida; Ixodidae.